This 381-nucleotide ribosomal RNA is filed under the name Triticum aestivum (bread wheat). RNAcentral's name for it is "partial small subunit ribosomal RNA". The record is from RNAcentral. Lineage: Eukaryota; Viridiplantae; Streptophyta; Magnoliopsida; Poales; Poaceae.
AUGUGUCUCUUGGAACUCUUUGGCGACACCACAGGCCUAAGGAUAAACCCGGACAAAACUUCUGUCGCCCCAAUUUGAUGCGAGGACCUUGAUCUGCAACACGUGCUUCAAAACUUCACUGGGAAGAUUCUAGGCUUCCCAUUGACGUAUCUAGGUCUCCCGAUUACCAUUUCCAGACUGCGCAUCAUGCACCUGCAGUUCAUUCUAGAUAGGAUCCAUGCACGCCUCACGGGAUGGAAAGGACAUCUGCUGUUAAUCGCCGACCAGAGGGUUUUAGUUAGAAGCGUCCUGACGGCAUUGCCGACGUACGCACUGUCCGUCCUCAGGGCGCCUAUUAAAUUUUUCAAGGACAUUGACAAGGCGCGCCGGCGUUUCCUCUAG